UACGUAGGGGGCAAGCGUUGUCCGGAUUUAUUGGGCGUAAAGAGCGUGUAGGCGGCUAGAUAGGUCCGUUGUGAAAACUCGAGGCUCAACCUCGAGACGUCGAUGGAAACCAUCUGGCUAGAGUCCGGAAGAGGAGAGUGGAAUUCCUGGUGUAGCGGUGAAUGCGCAGAUAUCAGGAAGAACACCCGUGGCGAAGGCGGCUCUCUGGUACGUGACUGACGCUGAGACGCGAAAGCGUGGGGAGCAAACAGG
This 252-nucleotide ribosomal RNA is filed under the name uncultured bacterium. RNAcentral describes it as "partial 16S ribosomal RNA". It matches the Rfam family "Bacterial small subunit ribosomal RNA", at positions 524 to 776 of the family's 1533-position model. The record is from RNAcentral.